AGAGUUUGAUCCUGGCUCAGAACGAACGCUGGCGGCAUGCCUAAUACAUGCAAGUCGAACGAGAAAGUCUCUUCGGAGGCGAGUACAGUGGCGCACGGGUGAGUAACACGUAGGUGACCUGCCCUUUGGCGUGGGACAACUCUAGGAAACUGGAGCUAAUACCGCAUAAGUUUAAUAAUUUUGGAAGAAAUUAAAGAAAGAGGGCCAAUACUUGUAAGCUCUCGCCGAAGGAUGGGCCUGCGGGCCAUUAGCUUGAUGGUGGGGUAAAGGCCUACCAUGGCGAUGAUGGUUAGCUGGUCUGAGAGGAUGAUCAGUCACACUGGAACUGAGAUACGGUCCAGACUCCUACGGGAGGCAGCAGUAGGGAAUAUUGCGCAAUGGGCGAAAGCCUGACGCAGCAAUGCCGCAUGAGUGAGGGAGGCCUUCGGGUUGUAAAGCUCUGUCAGGAGGGAAAAACAGCAUUUAGGUUAAUACCCUGAUUGUUUGAUGGUACCUCAAAAGGAAGCACCGGCUAACUCCGUGCCAGCAGCCGCGGUAAUACGGAGGGUGCGAGCGUUGUUCGGAUUUAUUGGGCGUAAAGCGCGUGCAGGCGGAAAAUCAAGUUAGGUGUGAAAUCUCGGGGCUUAACCUCGAAACUGCGCCUAAAACUGGUUAUCUAGAAUCUCGGAGAGGGAAGAGGAAUUUCAUGUGUAGGGGUAAAAUCCGUAGAGAUAUGAAGGAACACCGGAGGCGAAGGCGUCUUCCUGGACGAGUAUUGACGCUGAGGCGCGAAAGCGUGGGGAGCAAACAGGAUUAGAUACCCUGGUAGUCCACGCGGUAAACAAUGAGCACUAGAAACGGGAGGUAUUGACCCCUUCUGUUUCGGAGCAAACGCAUUAAGUGCUCCGCCUGGGGAGUACGGUCGCAAGACUAAAACUCAAAGGAAUUGACGGGGGCCCGCACAAGCGGUGGAUCAUGUGGUUUAAUUCGAAACCACGCGAAUAACCUUACCUGGGUUUGAAAUCCCACGAACCUGCUAGAGAUAGUGGGGUGCUCUUCGGAGAAUGUGGAGACAGGUGCUGCAUGGCUGUCGUCAGCUCGUGUUGUGAAGUGUUGGGUUAAGUCUCGCAACGAGCGCAACCCCUAUCCUUAGUUGCCAGCAUUAAGUUGGGCACUUUAAGGAGACUGCCUGGGUUAACCAGGAGGAAGGUGGGGAUGACGUCAAGUCCUCAUGGCCCUUAUGUCCAGGGCUACACACGUGAUACAAUGGACGAUACAGAGGGAAGCGAACUCGCGAGGGGAAGCAAAUCUCAAAAAGUCGUUCUCAGUACGGAUUGGAGUCUGCAACUCGACUCCAUGGAGUUGGAAUCGCUAGUAAUCGCGGAUCAUCAUGCCGCGGUGAAUACGUUCCCGGGCCUUGUACACACCGCCCGUCACACCAUGGGAGUUGGCCCAACCUUAAGUCGUGGCCCUAACUAGCUUGCUAGAGGGGAGCGCCUACGGUCGGACCGAUGACUGGGGUGAAGUCGUAACAAGGUA
RNAcentral lists this ribosomal RNA (1518 nucleotides) under metagenome. Its description in RNAcentral is "bacterial SSU rRNA". It matches the Rfam family "Bacterial small subunit ribosomal RNA". The record is from RNAcentral.